This 230-nucleotide ribosomal RNA is filed under the name uncultured bacterium. RNAcentral's name for it is "partial 16S ribosomal RNA". It matches the Rfam family "Bacterial small subunit ribosomal RNA", at positions 524 to 753 of the family's 1533-position model. The record is from RNAcentral.
UACGGAGGGGGCUAGCGUUGUUCGGAAUUACUGGGCGUAAAGCGCACGUAGGCGGCUUUGUAAGUUAGAGGUGAAAGCCCGGGGCUCAACUCCGGAAUUGCCUUUAAGACUGCAUCGCUAGAAUUGUGGAGAGGUAAGUGGAAUUCCGAGUGUAGAGGUGAAAUUCGUAGAUAUUCGGAAGAACACCAGUGGCGAAGGCGGCGACCUGGUCCGGGACUGACGCUGAGGCG